Molecule: ribosomal RNA, 506 nt
Filed under: uncultured bacterium
Lineage: Bacteria
Description: partial 16S ribosomal RNA
Rfam family: Bacterial small subunit ribosomal RNA
Source: RNAcentral
AUUGAACGCUGGCGGCAGGCCUAACACAUGCAAGUCGAACGGUAACAGGAAUCAGCUUGCUGAUUCGCUGACGAGUGGCGGACGGGUGAGUAAUGUCUGGGAAACUGCCUGAUGGAGGGGGAUAACUACUGGAAACGGUAGCUAAUACCGCAUAACGUCGCAAGACCAAAGAGGGGGACCUUCGGGCCUCUUGCCAUCGGAUGUGCCCAGAUGGGAUUAGCUUGUUGGUGGGGUAACGGCUAACCAAGGCGACGAUCCCUAGCUGGUCUGCGAGGAUGACCAGCCACACUGGAACUGAGACACGGUCCAGACUCCUACGGGAGGCAGCAGUGGGGAAUAUUGCACAAUGGGCGCAAGCCUGAUGCAGCCAUGCCGCGUGUAUGAAGAAGGCCUUCGGGUUGUAAAGUACUUUCAGCGGGGAGGAAGGGAGUAAAGUUAAUACCUUUGCUCAUUGACGUUACCCGCAGAAGAAGCACCGGCUAACUCCGUGCCAGCCGCCGCGGUAA